This 221-nucleotide long non-coding RNA is filed under the name Elaeis guineensis (African oil palm). RNAcentral describes it as "long non-coding RNA (EGUI_LNC019176)". Lineage: Eukaryota; Viridiplantae; Streptophyta; Magnoliopsida; Arecales; Arecaceae. The record is from RNAcentral.
CUGGCUGUAAUGCUUAUUCUGUCCGGCCCCACCACAUGCUCUCGAUCACAUCAUAGGAUCCAAGUUUUAUGGGUGAGCUUUGGAAACUUUCCCUUACGGCCUUAUCUAAGUUUAUUCCUUUGAAUUCCCGGCAAUGUAAUCAAGAAUGGUAACAAAUCGGAUCGACGUUUGACAGGUUAAUUGAGGGAAGGAGACUCCAAUGGUACCCAUCCUUAUGGUUU